Eucalyptus grandis is the source of this 658-nucleotide long non-coding RNA. RefSeq lists it as uncharacterized. The transcript is spliced from 2 exons. Lineage: Eukaryota; Viridiplantae; Streptophyta; Magnoliopsida; Myrtales; Myrtaceae. The record is from RefSeq and is a predicted model, not a curated record.
CUUUCUAGCAAAGAGGGAUUCCUCUCUCUCUCUCUCUCUCUCUCUCUCUCUCUCUCUCUCUCUCUCUCUCUCUCUAUGCACUUGGUCGCUACUGGAUCUCGCUACUGGAUCUCAAUCCGUCAUCAAUAUGUUUUCUCGCGAGCAUCGCAUCUUUCUCUUCGAUGAGAACAGUAUGAAUUCCACUACUAUGUCUUGUAGAACAUCCAGUCCAUCCACCACGAUUUUUGCGGAGAAAGAGGAGUCUGAAGAUGAUGGUAGGGUCGCGCUCCAAGGUGUUCAUGUUGCUUCCUCAUCCUCAUCUCAACUUCAACGCUCCGUGCAUCCUGUGCAUCCGAGUUGGGAUGAAGAGGAGGAAAAAGGCUUGCUGAUGACCGUGAUCUAGCGAGCUAUGGCAUUCAAGAUAACUCAACCCUCUUUGGAUUUUUUGGCCUCUUCGUAAAUCAUAUUCCUUGAGUUUGUAAGUACUGACUAGUGAGCAUGUUCUGACUUGGCUUUUGUAUUUGAAGGAAUUCUGAACUGGAAAUCAGUAUCCAACAUUCAUGCAUUAGCAUCUCAUUAGUACAUCUUGUGCAAUGAAGGUAUAGUGUGUAUCGGUGCUUCCUUACAUUGAAUAUCUGGACAAGGUAGAAUCUCAGUAGUAAGAUCGUUUUAUGGUUUA